AUUGAACGCUGGCGGCAGGCCUAACACAUGCAAGUCGAACGAGUGGCGGACGGGUGAGUAAUGUUUGGGGAACUGCCUGAUGGAGGGGGAUAACUACUGGAAACGGUUGCUAAUACCGCCUACUAUCGGAUGUGCCCAGAUGGGAUUAGCUAGUAGGUGGGGUAAAGGCUCACCUAGGCGACGAUCCCUAGCUGGUCUGAGAGGAUGACCAGCCACACUGGGACUGAGACACGGCCCAGACUCCUACGGGAGGCAGCAGUGGGGAAUAUUGCACAAUGGGCGCAAGCCUGAUGCAGCCAUGCCGCGUGUAUGAAGAAGGCCUUCGGGUUGUAAAGUACUUUCAUUGGGGAGGCGUUACCGACAGAAGAAGCACCGGCUAACUCCGUGCCAGCAGCCGCGGUAAUAC
Molecule: ribosomal RNA, 406 nt
Filed under: uncultured bacterium
Lineage: Bacteria
Description: partial 16S ribosomal RNA
Rfam family: Bacterial small subunit ribosomal RNA
Source: RNAcentral